GACGAACGCUGGCGGCGUGCUUAACACAUGCAAGUCGAACGGUAAGGCCCUUCGGGGUACACGAGUGGCGAACGGGUGAGUAACACGUGGGUGAUCUGCCCUGCACUUCGGGAUAAGCCUGGGAAACUGGGUCUAAUACCGGAUAGGACCACUGCCUGCAGGGGUGGUGGGGGAAAGCUUUUGCGGUGUGGGAUGGGCCCGCGGCCUAUCAGCUUGUUGGUGGGGUGAUGGCCUACCAAGGCGACGACGGGUAGCCGGCCUGAGAGGGUGACCGGCCACACUGGGACUGAGAUACGACCCAGACUACUACGGGAGGCAGCGGUGGGGAAUAUUGCACAAUGGGCGCAAGCCUGAUGCAGCGACGCCGCGUGAGGGAUGACGGCCUUCGGGUUGUAAACCUCUUUCAGCACCGACGAGGCGCAAGUGACGGUAGGUGCAGAAGAAGGACCGGCCAACUACGUGCCAGCCGCCGCGGUAA
This 478-nucleotide ribosomal RNA is filed under the name uncultured bacterium. RNAcentral's name for it is "partial 16S ribosomal RNA". It matches the Rfam family "Bacterial small subunit ribosomal RNA", at positions 28 to 523 of the family's 1533-position model. The record is from RNAcentral.